This 497-nucleotide ribosomal RNA is filed under the name uncultured bacterium. RNAcentral's name for it is "partial 16S ribosomal RNA". It matches the Rfam family "Bacterial small subunit ribosomal RNA", at positions 28 to 507 of the family's 1533-position model. The record is from RNAcentral.
GAUGAACGCUGGCGGCGUGCCUAAUACAUGCAAGUCGAGCGAACGGACGAGAAGCUUGCUUCUCUGAUGUUAGCGGCGGACGGGUGAGUAACACGUGGAUAACCUACCUAUAAGACUGGGAUAACUUCGGGAAACCGGAGCUAAUACCGGAUGAUAUUUUGAACCGCAUGGUUCAAAAGUGAAAGACGGUCUUGCUGUCACUUAUAGAUGGAUCCGCGCUGCAUUAGCUAGUUGGUAAGGUAAUGGCUUACCAAGGCAACGAUGCAUAGCCGACCUGAGAGGGUGAUCGGCCACACUGGAACUGAGACACGGUCCAGACUCCUACGGGAGGCAGCAGUAGGGAACCUUCCGCAAUGGGCGAAAGCCUGACGGAGCAACGCCGCGUGAGUGAUGAAGGUCUUCGGAUCGUAAAACUCUGUUAUUAGGGAAGAACAUAUGUGUAAGUAACUGUGCACAUCUUGACGGUACCUAAUCAGAAAGCCACGGCUAACUACGUG